RNAcentral lists this ribosomal RNA (252 nucleotides) under uncultured bacterium. RNAcentral describes it as "partial 16S ribosomal RNA". It matches the Rfam family "Bacterial small subunit ribosomal RNA", at positions 524 to 776 of the family's 1533-position model. The record is from RNAcentral.
UACGAAGGGGGCUAGCGUUGCUCGGAAUCACUGGGCGUAAAGGGUGCGUAGGCGGGUUUUUAAGUCAGGGGUGAAAUCCUGGAGCUCAACUCCAGAACUGCCUUUGAUACUGAGGAUCUUGAGUUCGGGAGAGGUGAGUGGAACUGCGAGUGUAGAGGUGAAAUUCGUAGAUAUUCGCAAGAACACCAGUGGCGAAGGCGGCUCACUGGCCCGAUACUGACGCUGAGGCACGAAAGCGUGGGAGCAAACAGG